UACGAGGGGGGCGAGCGUUGUUCGGAAUUAUUGGGCGUAAAGGGCGCGUAGGCGGUUGGGUAAGUCUUGUGUGAAAUCUUCGGGCUCAACUCGAAGUCUGCACGAGAAACUAUCUGGCUUGAGUGUGGGAGAGGUGAGUGGAAUUCCUGGUGUAGCGGUGAAAUGCGUAGAUAUGCGGAGGAACACCGAUGGCGAAGGCAAUCCCCUGGGCCUGCACUGACGCUCAUGCACGAAAGCGUGGGGAGCAAACAGG
Molecule: ribosomal RNA, 253 nt
Filed under: uncultured bacterium
Lineage: Bacteria
Description: partial 16S ribosomal RNA
Rfam family: Bacterial small subunit ribosomal RNA
Source: RNAcentral